RNAcentral lists this ribosomal RNA (657 nucleotides) under Calanoides acutus. RNAcentral describes it as "SSU rRNA". It matches the Rfam family "Eukaryotic small subunit ribosomal RNA", at positions 26 to 681 of the family's 1831-position model. Lineage: Eukaryota; Metazoa; Arthropoda; Copepoda; Calanoida; Calanidae. The record is from RNAcentral.
AUAUGCUGGUCUCAAAGAUUAAGCCAUGCAUGUCCAAGUACAAGCCUCACUAAGGUGAAACCGCGAAUGGCUCAUUAAAUCACACCUAAUCUACUGGAUAGUUAACAGUUACUUGGAUAACUGCGGUAAUUCUGGAGCUAAUACAUGCACAAAGCCUCGAACUUACGUGAGAGGCGCUUUUAUUAGAUCAAAACCAAACGGCUUCGGCUGUACUCUUGGUGACUCUGAAUAACUUUGGGCUGAUCGCAUAGCCUUGCGCUGGCGACAUAUCCUUCGAAGGUGUGCCCUAUCAACUGUCGACUGUGACAUAGACGCUCACAGUGGUUUUGACGGGUAACGGAGAAUCAGGGUUCGAUUCCGGAGAGGGAGCCUUAAAAACGGCUACCACAUCUAAGGAAGGCAGCAGGCACGCAAAUUACCCAAUGACCGAAGGUCGAGGUAGUGACGAAAAAUAACGAUCCAGGACUCAUCCGAGGCCCUGGAAUCGGAAUGAGUACACUUUAAAACCGUCCCCGAGGAUCUAUUGGAGGGCAAGUCUGGUGCCAGCAGCCGCGGUAAUUCCAGCUCCAAUAGCGUAUAUUAAAGUUGUUGUGGUUAAAAAGCUCGUAGUUGGAUCUCGGCGGUCCGAGGGCGGUUUACUUGCUAGUAUUACUGCCC